RNAcentral lists this long non-coding RNA (3841 nucleotides) under Medicago truncatula (barrel medic). RNAcentral describes it as "long non-coding RNA (MTRU_LNC003683)". The record is from RNAcentral. Lineage: Eukaryota; Viridiplantae; Streptophyta; Magnoliopsida; Fabales; Fabaceae.
ACGAGGCGACGUGAGUUACAAUUAAGUUUUCUCUCUUAUCAUUUUGAUACGUUAAAAUUAUUAAAAAAUUGUUGAUUCAGAUUAUUGAAUUUUUUAAAAUCUGCAAGUAUAUAUGUUUGUUUCAAUUUGAUUUUUGUUGUCUCUUUUUUAUCACAUGUGUCAAAUUUUUCUCCAAUUUUCUUACUAAUUUUUUCCCCUUAUACUCUCCAGAAGAAGGCUGCAAUCUUGGGUAAAACUUAAUGUUCGUGUUCGUAUUCAGUUUUUAUAAGUUAGGGUUUGUUUCCUAUGCAAAGUAUUGUUUGUGUUUGUGUGAGUUUUAAAAACAAUGUAAAUUUUGUGUAUCAUUAUUCAUGAAACUUAAUAACUAAAGAUGUGAAACUUGAUUACUAAAUGCAAUGAGGGUCUAUAACAUAAAUAAAGGCAAACCACCUAAUUUUGACAUAAAAAUGAUUAGAACCACUAAUUUCAUUAUUUCAGCAUUGCAGGCACACAAAAGUGGUAGGCGAUGAUGACUCAAGACUAUGUCUUUACUUUGAUAAACACAAGGUAAAUAUACUGGUUUGAUUACUUUCUUUCAAGGCUUGGUUAAUCUAAUUUAGGAUGUUUAGUUUUUAUUUGAAAAUUGAUGUUUGACUAGGAGAAGGCUUGCAUUAAGUCACAAUGUGCUUUGUAUAGCCAUAGAUUCCACCAACGAAAGAUAGAUAGAAAAAAGAAAAAAAAAAGGUUUAUCUGCAUACCAAAGGAAAAAUUUGAAGAUGAUUGUUUAAAUUAAUAUUUCCAAUUUUUCAAAUGGAUCCCUUUUGCUAUUUGAUUUGGAUGAGAAUAUGAAUUCGGAAGAUAGCUUUCUUCCGUAGUCGGAUAAUCAACCAGAUUAAUAUGUUUUGCAAACCAUGUUAUUAAUUUUUAAACACAUCCACGUUCUUUCAAUUAUAUAGGAAGGAAUAAGAGAUGAGAGAAGAGUCUAGACAUAACAUCUACAUGUAUGUUUCCUUUACAAAUUCCGAUUUACAAUCACAAACCAAAAGAAAUUUUUUGUAAUUAAUCAUUGAUAUAUAAAUAUAAUUUUGUAAAAACAAAAAUUAGAAAUUAGAUAAUUCAAUUUCAAUUUGUGCUUUGUAAUUUCGUUGGGGUGCAUCCUAUUGAGAGUAAGAGAGAGAUGAAGAAGGGGAAAAGGGAGGAAGAAGAUGGAACAACUUGAUGUAGCCUAUUUUCCUCGACCAUUAAUUAAAGUGUUUAAGGUAAAUGCAAUUAUAUAGGCUAUUGUUUCUUAUUUUUAUCUUUUUCUGUUUGAUCUAUUAAUGAUUCAUUUCUUAUUUUUAUGGUCUGCCAAAUCUCACCUGUUAAUUUUGUGUAUGGAUGGUGAUCCACACACCAACAAAAACAUGAAGAAAUAAGUUUAGGAAAUUUGAAAGGCCUUUUCCUCAUCACUGUAUUGCCACAAACUAAGGUUAUUCUAUUAGAAAGGGGCAUAAAAGCCUAAACAAUCACUUCAAGAAGCCUAUGCAGAAAGUUAUGCGUCGUUGGCAAUUUCCUUUUAAAUUUCCUUCAAUUUACCUUUACUACAUUUACUUUAAACAAUUGCAUACACGCAUUCCUUAUUUUUGCUUUUAAAAAUCAUAUUCCUUCUUUGUUGUGUUAAUUGUUGUUCCUGAUAAACUUUUAGCAAGUGUGCUAAAAAUAUCGAAGUAAUAAAAUAAGUUCGUAUCAAGUUAAUAUCUAGGAUAUGUAAAUUUUAUAAGUUCCUGAGGCAGUAGGUUUGUGUGCAUAAAAAGUAAAUAAAAUUUGUUGAAAGAUGAUUUGAGAAGGAUGAUUAAGCCGAUGAAUCCCCUAUUGUUCUAUAUGAGUAGUUACCUCCUUUAUUUACUAAUUACUAUUCAAUCUUUACGACAAAUUAACUAAGUAGUUUUGAUCAAUCUCUUAACUCAAAACCCUUUCCUAAGUUAUAACUUUUUAAUCUCUUAAACCGAUUGAAUAACCGCGGAAGCGAUAGAAGAACGUUAAUUCAUGAGUCAUGAUCCUCAAUUUUCUAUUUCUAGGUUCCUAUGUUGAAUCAAACAGGAUUACUAUUUCAGGAUUAAAAGGUAGUGUUAAUAGUCAUUCAAUUCCUAAUAUCAAUUCAUGUAAUUGCACGAAGCUAGGGUUAAUAGUCAUACAAAACAAUUAUCUGAAAAACAAUAAACCGAUAGAGUUCCGUCGUUGCCGGCUUUACUCCACAGUUUAUAUCCCACGGUGCUGUUGUUGUCUUCCCAAAACCAUGUGGCCAAAAUCGUGAUCUCCUGUACGGCUCACUUUCCCAACGUCCACUUCACUCCGGUAUGUGCGGCUGGCUUUCUUAUAUAUAGGGAUGUAACCUAGUUCUUUUCUUUCUCCACAAGCAAGUCACGCUUUUCUUUAAUUUGAUUUUCUCAAGCCCAAUCUUUUAUAUGAAUAUUAAAACCAUUGCUUUUGGCACUUCUUGUUUUGCUCUUGUUUGAUCACAUAAUAAAUAAUUAUGAUAAUAACCCAUAAAUUCCAAUAUUUCCUUGCUUGACUUAAUAGACCAAAAAACAUUACUUUAUUCAAAUUGACUCUAAAUUAAAUACUAAACUAAUAAAAAUAGAUUGAAAACUUAUUUAAAAAGACUCUAAAAAUGUGAUAUGACGGACUGUCAUCAGUUCCAUAGAGGAAGCCACUUCUUCUAACGGUACGAAUUACAUGCAAUAUUUCUUGAUGAUUGAAGAACUGUUUUUGUAUUCUAUUUCCUUUUUACUCUUCUUGGUUAAUACAAAUUCAGAUAUAAUGGGAAAUGUUCCGCAUUGAUAGAGAAGCUCCUCAUAUAUAGGAUGACUGCCAAAUUUUUCUCCAUAUUAUCUCUCGGUCUCUUUCUAAUCCUUUUAUGUUGUUGUUUGCAUGUGAUUUGAGUCCUUAUUCCAUAAUUGUCGCAAAGGGUGAAAGGAAACGACGAAGAGGAAAGGAAGAUGGUUACAUAUUAGUAAAUAUGGUUUAAAGAUGCUUGAAGUUUUCAAGUAUAUUUGAUGCUCAAUAAAUAUCUAACUUCCUUUAACAUAAAAGGUGGUUACGUAUCAGUAAUUGGGAAAUGUAUAAGAAUAUUUACUUAGAUAAUAUUUUAUUUGAUUUCUCCAAAUUUGGUAAGUUAGCAUCACUGUUACAACAUGGUAACUUUGUACAUCUACUCCUUUCAAUUUUACAUUACAACUGUUACAUUAAUUUAGGUUGGAGAAACAACCUUAAAGAGUGAAAAUUGGUGUCAAUGUGGAGUAACUGCCAUCAACUAAGAUACACAGAGAGGUUUCUUAAUAGUUUUAAAUGUAUGCUACAAGAAUUUAAUUGUAACAAGGGUUUGCAAUAUAUAGAUACCAGAGGGAAUAUAGUUUUAAAUGUAUACUACAAGAAUUUAAUUGUAACAAGGGUUUGCAAUAUAUAGAUACCAGAGGGAAUAUAGUUUUAAAUGUAUACUACAAGAAUUUAAUUGUAACAAGGGUUUGCAAUAUAUAGAUACCAGAGGGAUUAUAGUUUCUUAAGGAAUGGCCUGAAACAGAGUAAUAACAAAAAUAUGAAGAAAUACAUAAUAUCAACGGAGCAUCACAACAAUGUUUUUGUAAUGGAAAAACUAAGAUUGUGAUAUUUGAUAUAGGCAGCAGGACUAUGAAAGCCACAUAGAGUUGGUGUUGGAACGUUGGUCUUUCUCCUUUGAGGAAGAGAAAUGAGAAAAGGGGAAGGUUUGUCGUCAUUGGCCAUCGGCGAAAAGUAUCAAUGUGCAUCAAGGUUCUACCAUUAAUCAAGAAAAAAGUGUUCAAAAUGAUUUUCUAUUUCAUACUAUGAUCAAGUAUAAUCUUCAGCA